This 22-nucleotide microRNA is filed under the name Strongyloides ratti. RNAcentral's name for it is "str-miR-8366b-3p". The record is from miRBase by way of RNAcentral. Lineage: Eukaryota; Metazoa; Nematoda; Chromadorea; Rhabditida; Strongyloididae.
UACCCGUAAUCCAAUGCUGCAA